This 440-nucleotide ribosomal RNA is filed under the name uncultured Rhodoferax sp. RNAcentral's name for it is "bacterial SSU rRNA". It matches the Rfam family "Bacterial small subunit ribosomal RNA", at positions 358 to 789 of the family's 1533-position model. The record is from RNAcentral. Lineage: Bacteria; Pseudomonadati; Pseudomonadota; Betaproteobacteria; Burkholderiales; Comamonadaceae.
GGAAUUUUGGACAAUGGGCGAAAGCCUGAUCCAGCAAUGCCGCGUGCAGGAUGAAGGCCUUCGGGUUGUAAACUGCUUUUGUACGGAACGAAAAAGUCUGCCCUAAUACGGUGGGCCCAUGACGGUACCGUAAGAAUAAGCACCGGCUAACUACGUGCCAGCAGCCGCGGUAAUACGUAGGGUGCGAGCGUUAAUCGGAAUUACUGGGCGUAAAGCGUGCGCAGGCGGUUAUAUAAGUCAGAUGUGAAAUCCCCGGGCUCAACCUGGGACCUGCAUUUGAGACUGUAUAGCUAGAGUACGGUAGAGGGGGAUGGAAUUCCGCGUGUAGCAGUGAAAUGCGUAGAUAUGCGGAGGAACACCGAUGGCGAAGGCAAUCCCCUGGACCUGUACUGACGCUCAUGCACGAAAGCGUGGGGAGCAAACAGGAUUAGAUACCCCUG